Molecule: ribosomal RNA, 461 nt
Filed under: uncultured bacterium
Lineage: Bacteria
Description: bacterial SSU rRNA
Rfam family: Bacterial small subunit ribosomal RNA
Source: RNAcentral
GACAACGCUGGCGGCACGCCUAACACAUGCAAGUCGAACGGUGAAGAGGAGCUUGCUCCUCGGAUCAGUGGCGGACGGGUGAGUAACACGUGAGCAAUCUGCCUUUCAGAGGGGGAUACCAGUUGGAAACGACUGUUAAUACCGCAUAACAUAAUCGAACCGCAUGAUUUGAUUAUCAAAGAUUUAUCGCUGAAAGAUGAGCUCGCGUCUGAUUAGCUAGUUGGUGAGGUAACGGCUCACCAAGGCGACGAUCAGUAGCCGGCCUGAGAGGGUGAACGGCCACAUUGGGACUGAGACACGGCCCAAACUCCUACGGGAGGCAGCAGUGGGGAAUAUUGCACAAUGGGGGAAACCCUGAUGCAGCGACGCCGCGUGAGUGAAGAAGUAUUUCGGUAUGUAAAGCUCUAUCAGCAAGGAAGAAAAUGACGGUACUUGACUAAGAAGCCCCGGCUAACUACGUG